This 355-nucleotide ribosomal RNA is filed under the name uncultured bacterium. RNAcentral's name for it is "bacterial SSU rRNA". It matches the Rfam family "Bacterial small subunit ribosomal RNA", at positions 30 to 389 of the family's 1533-position model. The record is from RNAcentral.
AUUGAACGCUGGCGGCAUGCCUUACACAUGCAAGUCGAACGGCAGCACGGGGGCAACCCUGGUGGCGAGUGGCGAACGGGUGAGUAAUGCAUCGGAACGUGCCCAGUAGUGGGGAUAACUAGUCGAAAGAUUAGCUAAUACCGCAUACGACCUAUGGGUGAAAGCGGGGGAUUCGCAAGAACCUCGCGCUAUUGGAGCGGCCGAUGUCUGAUUAGCUAGNGGCGGGGUAAAGCCCACCAAGGCUUCGAUCAGUAGCUGGUCUGAGAGGACGACCAGCCACACUGGGACUGAGACACGGCCCAGACUCCUACGGGGGCAGCAGUGGGAAUUUUGGACAAUGGCGCAAGCCUGAUCC